CACGUAGGCGGGACUUUAAGUCAGGUGUGAAAGACCGAGGCUCAACUUCGGGGUUGCACAUGAAACUGGAGUUCUUGAGGGCAGGAGAGGAAAGUGGAAUUCCUGGUGUAGCGGUGAAAUGCGUAGAAAUCAGGAGGAACACCGGUGGCGAAGGCGACUUUCUGGACUGACCCUGACGCUGAGGUGCGAAAGCGUGGGUAGCAAACA
RNAcentral lists this ribosomal RNA (207 nucleotides) under uncultured Syntrophomonadaceae bacterium. RNAcentral's name for it is "partial 16S ribosomal RNA". It matches the Rfam family "Bacterial small subunit ribosomal RNA", at positions 568 to 774 of the family's 1533-position model. Lineage: Bacteria; Bacillati; Bacillota; Clostridia; Eubacteriales; Syntrophomonadaceae. The record is from RNAcentral.